ACUUUCUGAGAUCAGGUUAAAGGCAAGAAAUUCAGGAGUUCCCAUCGUGGCUCAGUGGUUAAUGAACCUGACCAGCAUCCAUAAGGACUCAGGUUCAAUCCCUGGCCUUGCUCAGAGGGUUAAGGAUGCGGCGUUGCCUGAGCUGUGGUGUAGGUUGCAGACGUGGCUUGGAUCCUGUGUUGCUAUGGCUGUGGCAUAGCCUGGCGUCUUCAGCUCUGAUUCAACCCCUAGCCUGGGAACCUCCAUAUGCCACAGGUGCGUCCAAAAAAAAAAAAAAAAAAAAAAAAAAAAAAAAGGGCAAGAAAUUCAGAUGAGCCAUGCAUUUCUUAAGAGGUGAGUUCUAUGUCUGAAGGAUGCCUUUCAAGCAGAUACAGAAGAUGACAUCUGAACAGUAGGGAGAGUCAGGGGAAUACAUACCAGUCCACAGAAGGGACAGCUUCUAGAACAAAGACUGCAAACUUAUUAGGGCCAGACGAAUAAAACAAAUGAGUGAACCAAGCCGGGUGGGGUUAUGCACAGCCCCUGUACAACCGCUCAGCGGCCUCUGGCCACGGAAGGCUCCGAGUCUUUCUGCAACAGCCCCAGCACACAGCACGGCCCAGUGGGAGGACCACUGACUUUAAAGUCAGGUGGAAGGAGCCCUGUGUCCCAGUUCCACUGCACAUUAUCAGCAUGACCUGAAAUAAGUUACUUAAAACCCUUUGGGCCUCUGAGUUGUUUUGUGUGUGUGUGUGUGUGUGUGACCUGAGAUCGCUGUUGCUGACACUAUAUAAUUAUUGUGAAUACUCAGGGAAAAGUGCCUAAAAUGUGAUGGUUGAUAUACAUGUUUCCUACUUUGCUUUUAUUACCAUUUACAUAGCACUUAACUGUGUGCAAGACACAGCUCUUCAACUCAUUUAUUCCUCACAACAACCCUAGGAGGUAGCUUCUCAGUUUACAAAUGAAGCACAGAAAGGGUAAAUAAUUUGACCAGGGACACACAGCAGGCAACUAAAAGACUGUCAAAAACUCAAAAACAGGAGGAUUCAUUCUUAGAUGCUACAGGAGAUUCUAUCCCUCAAACUACCAUAAGCCUCUUUGUCUUUUCUUUCAACCUAAAUGUGCUGCAAGUACAUAGGGUACCUUCUGACUCCCACUCCCACUACUGACUCCCAUGCCGUGGGCUCCCCGCUGCUGUCACCCCACAGGUGCUCCCUCAAAGGCACUCCAGACUCGGGGCUCAGUGUUGUAGGGUGGCUCAUGGUCCCCUCUCCUCAACCCUGCGUUAACACCUUCUCUGCCGGGCACCAACCUCCGAGGGCUGCCUAGGCCUCUGAAAUUCCCUGUUCUCUUUGAAAGUCCCUCCAUGGUCUCCCUCUCAGAGGUAAGUCCCAGGUCCCAGCCCCUCCCUCCCCUGUGCUCCUGCUCCUCUUCCCUCUCAGAUGCUAGGCACCAAGUCCCUGCAAAGCGUGUUUUCAAUGCACACCUCAGGGCCCAAGCUCCACACCUCGUCCCUGGGCCGGCACCCACCUACACACGGACCCUCUCUGCUCCGGGUCCUGCCAGCAACGUGCGUGACUUCAGCUGCCACAGGAAAGCCCACCCAGCUCGGGGCUGUGAGCGCCUUAACUUUCCCGUCUCCCAGGGCCAGCCCUCCCCCGACCUGAGCGGCCCACUCAAUGACCCAGUUCUUUUCUCAUCAUCUGAACUGCUUUGCUUCUGAAAGGGUAAGCUCUGACAGCCCUCCUCUGACCACACCCUCUUAGCCUUCAGCUCCCUUUACUGACUACUCAGGAAACCAACUGGUUACUCAGGAUAACCAAAGCUACUAAUCCUAAACCCCAAAUCUGACCUUUCCACUGUGUGCCCUCGGAAAGUUCCAGCAACAAGCCAGCUGUCCAGCCAGAAGCUUACACGUUACCUUUUACUCCUCCCCCUCCUCGUCCAUAGCCAACGAACCCCAAUCUGCCACACGCCUCCCAUCCUUCAACACCUACCCGAGUCUCUCCUGCUAUCCGAUCACCAUCGCUUCUCAUCCAGAAUCCUCUGUCCAAUGGUGUCCUGACCAGCAUUUCGCUUCCAGGACCUGCUUCCCUGAAAUCUAUUCUUCCGCAGACAGAAUGGUCCUUCUAAAACAUGGUCUAAUCACAUCACUCCAAUACUUAACAUCACGAAUACUGCCCUUCAGAAGAGGACAAGAUGCCCUAAUGCAGCUUCAGGGGCACUUCUUGAUCGAGCGGCUGCCCACCGCUCCUGCCUUCUCGCCUGUUUCCUCCGUUCCCGCUGCACACAGCUGCCAGGUCUUCAGAGGCCCCGGGUCUCCCUCUUGCCUUUGGGGCUUGGUACACUCCAGUCCCCUUGCCCAUAACAUGCCUUUUUCUCAUGCUUCACCUGGGCUUUCCUCACGCGAGAGUCAUGGUAAAUAUUACAACUUCCUUAAGAGGCCACCCUGGUCCCCAGACUUGGUCAGGCCCCCGGGUUGGUGUUCCUGUAGCAAACCUGCACGCCCCAUGACAGUCACCCCACAGAGUGGCGUCCCCCUCACCAGCCUGUGGUUCCGUGAAGCAAGCCCGGGGCUCUCUCGUGCAGCGCCACGCGCCCGGCCACGCGGGGCUGGUCCGGACGGACCCUCGGCGAGUACGUGUCGAAUAAACGAGCACGUGGUUGAGUCUCAAUCCCUUGUCCCCCACCUCCUGACUCUGGGCUCGAGGUUCAGCUCCACGUUCUUCAGGUGCCUGAUGGACCCCUCACCAAGACCUAACUAAACACGUGCACAGUGGACAGAGCUCAUCGUCCCUCUCACAUUCGUGCUCUUUAAAAUCUCCUACAGCAGAAAGAACACAGAUGCGGACAUCAGGGAGGCCUGGGAUGUGCUGCUCGACGCCCAUCAGCUGUGUCCUAAUUUCAGACAAAUCUUUCUUUGAGCCUUCGUUUCCUCAUCUCUGAAGUAAGGACAAAAUUACCAGCCUCACAGGAUUAGGAUAAGACCGCACGAGAUAACGUCGGGAAAUGCCUGCAAAUGGCGCGGAAGUAACAAAUGGCACCUGAGUGGAAAGAUGUGGAGGAAUGUUGCUUCCUUCCUCCUGCCCACCGGCCGCCCCCUCUCCUCCAGGCGGUCUGCUCCAUUCCAGUCGCCCCCUCACGCAGGCCCUCUGCUCCUGCUUCCUAGACCCUCUCACGACAGCUCCACUGGCCUUCCCCGGCUCUGGUUUUCUCACUGCCCAGGCCACCCC
This 3212-nucleotide long non-coding RNA is filed under the name Sus scrofa (pig). RNAcentral's name for it is "lncRNA (ENSSSCG00060073778.1)". Lineage: Eukaryota; Metazoa; Chordata; Mammalia; Artiodactyla; Suidae. The record is from RNAcentral.